RNAcentral lists this small RNA (138 nucleotides) under Leclercia sp. J807. Its description in RNAcentral is "RtT sRNA". It matches the Rfam family "RtT RNA". From Rfam's summary of the family: This family represents a bacterial cis-regulatory element known as RtT RNA. The exact function of RtT is unknown although it is thought that it may be involved in changing the cellular response in relation to amino acid starvation. Lineage: Bacteria; Pseudomonadati; Pseudomonadota; Gammaproteobacteria; Enterobacterales; Enterobacteriaceae. The record is from RNAcentral.
UUUAUAUUCUCCGCUGGGGGGAUGAGAACCCCCGACCGGGGUUCGACAACUGGCGACAGCCAGUUGGACAGACCACGAACACAGUGAGUGGGCUGCCCGUAGGGCGAGCGCAGCGAGUCAAUCCCCCCCUCACCGCCA